This 448-nucleotide ribosomal RNA is filed under the name uncultured bacterium. Its description in RNAcentral is "bacterial SSU rRNA". It matches the Rfam family "Bacterial small subunit ribosomal RNA", at positions 355 to 825 of the family's 1533-position model. The record is from RNAcentral.
UGGGGAAUAUUGGACAAUGGGCGCAAGCCUGAUCCAGCCAUGCCGCGUGAGUGACGAAGGCCUUAGGGUUGUAAAGCUCUUUUUGGCGGGGAAGAUAAUGACGGUACCCGCAGAAUAAGCUCCGGCUAACUUCGUGCCAGCAGCCGCGGUAAUACGAAGGGAGCUAGCGUUGUUCGGAAUCACUGGGCGUAAAGCGCACGUAGGUGGGCAGUUAAGUCAGGGGUGAAAGCCCGAGGCUCAACCUCGGAAUUGCCUCUGAUACUGGCUGUCUAGAGUUCGAGAGAGGUGAGUGGAAUUCCUAGUGUAGAGGCGAAAUUCGUAGAUAUUAGGAAGAACACCGGUGGCGAAGGCGGCUCACUGGCUCGAUACUGACACUGAGGUGCGAAAGCGUGGGGAGCAAACAGGAUUAGAUACCCACGUAGUCCCUGAGCGGGCUGGCAAGGCGCAU